RNAcentral lists this ribosomal RNA (238 nucleotides) under uncultured bacterium. RNAcentral describes it as "partial 16S ribosomal RNA". It matches the Rfam family "Bacterial small subunit ribosomal RNA", at positions 96 to 334 of the family's 1533-position model. The record is from RNAcentral.
CGGCGGACGGGUGAGUAACGCGUGGGUAACCUGCCUCAUACAGGGGGAUAACAGUUAGAAAUGACUGCUAAUACCGCAUAAGACCACAGGAUCGCAUGAUCCGGUGGUAAAAACUCCGGUGGUAUGAGAUGGACCCGCGUCUGAUUAGCCAGUUGGCAGGGUAACGGCCUACCAAAGCGACGAUCAGUAGCCGACCUGAGAGGGUGACCGGCCACAUUGGGACUGAGACACGGCCCAA